This 1329-nucleotide ribosomal RNA is filed under the name Saagaromyces abonnis. RNAcentral describes it as "LSU rRNA". It matches the Rfam family "Eukaryotic large subunit ribosomal RNA", at positions 44 to 1316 of the family's 3401-position model. The record is from RNAcentral. Lineage: Eukaryota; Fungi; Ascomycota; Sordariomycetes; Microascales; Halosphaeriaceae.
CAAUAAGCGGAGGAAAAGAACCAACAGGGAUUGCCCCAGUAACGGCGAGUGAAGCGGCAACAGCUCAAAUUUGAAAUCCGGCCGCCUAGCGGCCCGAGUUGUAAUUUGCAGAGGACGCUCUGGGCGAGGUGCCUUCCGAGUUCCCUGGAACGGGACGCCGUAGAGGGUGAGAGCCCCGUACGGUCGGCGUCCGAGCCCGUGUAAAGCUCCUUCGACGAGUCGAGUAGUUUGGGAAUGCUGCUCCAAAUGGGAGGUAAACCCCUUCUAAAGCUAAAUACCGGCCAGAGACCGAUAGCGCACAAGUAGAGUGAUCGAAAGAUGAAAAGCACUUUGAAAAGAGAGUUAAAAAGCACGUGAAAUUGUUGAAAGGGAAGCGCUUGUGGCCAGACUUGCGCCCGGCAGCUCAGCCGUCCUUUCGGGCGGUGCACUCUGCCGGGCACAGGCCAGCAUCAGCUCCCGGUCGGGGAGAAAGGCGGUGGGAACGUGGCUCCUCGGAGUGUUAUAGCCCGCCGCCAUGCCCUUCCGGGGACUGAGGUUCGCGCACCCGCAAGGAUGCUGGCGUAAUGGCCACCAGCGACCCGUCUUGAAACACGGACCAAGGAGUCGUCCUAGUAUGCGAGUGUUCGGGUGCCAAACCCCUACGCGCAAUGAAAGUGAACGGAGGUGAGAGCUUCGGCGCAUCAUCGACCGAUCCUGAUGUUCUCGGAUGGAUUUGAGUAUGAGCAUACUGGGCCGGACCCGAAAGAAGGUGAACUAUGCUUGUAUAGGGUAAAGCCAGAGGAAACUCUGGUGGAGGCUCGCAGCGGUUCUGACGUGCAAAUCGAUCGUCAAAUAUGAGCAUGGGGGCGAAAGUAAGUCGAACCAUUGCCUCUUGAGCGGGCGGGCCGCGCGCCCGUCCGCGUCUCGCGGAAGUGAUUGAUGCUAAUCAUUAAUUUUUUACAGGACUAAUCGAACCUUCUAGUAGCUGGUUUCCGCCGAAGUUUCCCUCAGGAUAGCAGUGUUGAGCUCAGUUUUAUGAGGUAAAGCGAAUGAUUAGGGACUCGGGGGCGCUUAUUAGCCUUCAUCCAUUCUCAAACUUUAAAUAUGUAAGAAGCCCUUGUUGCUCUGGUGAACGCGGGCAUUCGAAUGUAUCAACACUAGUGGGCCAUUUUUGGUAAGCAGAACUGGCGAUGCGGGAUGAACCGAUCGCGAGGAUAAGGUGCCGGAGUGGACGCUCAUCAGACACCACAAAAGGUGUUAUCACAUCUUGACAGCAGGACGGUGGCCAUGGAAGUCGGAACCCGCUAAGGACUGUGUAACAACUCACCUGCCGAAUGUGAUAACCCUGAA